AUUGAACGCUGGCGGCAGGCCUAACACAUGCAAGUCGAACGGUAACAGAAAGCAGCUUGCUGCUUUGCUGACGAGUGGCGGACGGGUGAGUAAUGUCUGGGAAACUGCCUGAUGGAGGGGGAUAACUACUGGAAACGGUAGCUAAUACCGCAUAACGUCGCAAGACCAAAGAGGGGGACCUUAGGGCCUCUUGCCAUCGGAUGUGCCCAGAUGGGAUUAGCUAGUAGGUGGGGUAACGGCUCACCUAGGCGACGAUCCCUAGCUGGUCUGAGAGGAUGACCAGCCACACUGGAACUGAGACACGGUCCAGACUCCUACGGGAGGCAGCAGUGGGGAAUAUUGCACAAUGGGCGCAAGCCUGAUGCAGCCAUGCCGCGUGUAUGAAGAAGGCCUUCGGGUUGUAAAGUACUUUCAGCGGGGAGGAAGGGAGUAAAGUUAAUACCUUUGCUCAUUGACGUUACCCGCAGAAGAAGCACCGGCUAACUCCGUGCCAGCAGCCGCGGUAAUACGGAGGGUGCAAGCGUUAAUCGGAAUUACUGGGCGUAAAGCGCACGCAGGCGGUUUGUUAAGUCAGAUGUGAAAUCCCCGGGCUCAACCUGGGAACUGCAUCUGAUACUGGCAGGCUUGAGUCUCGUAGAGGGGGGUAGAAUUCCAGGUGUAGCGGUGAAAUGCGUAGAGAUCUGGAGGAAUACCGGUGGCGAAGGCG
Molecule: ribosomal RNA, 706 nt
Filed under: uncultured Escherichia sp.
Lineage: Bacteria; Pseudomonadati; Pseudomonadota; Gammaproteobacteria; Enterobacterales; Enterobacteriaceae
Description: bacterial SSU rRNA
Rfam family: Bacterial small subunit ribosomal RNA
Source: RNAcentral